AUUGAUGAACUAUAUGCUGCACUUGCUUGACUUUUGAUAAAUCAGAAUCUCCUCAGCUGGUGCACAGACUUGACAGAGACUGUAGUGGACUUUUGGUGUUGGGAAGAACACAAACGGCUGCAACGCCUUUUCAUUGUAUAUUCCUCGAGAAAACAACUGGUUAGUGUCGCAUAUGUAAAACCUCUCCAGCAUGCUAUCACUGAAUACCGAGUGAUUGAAUUUUCACCACUUGGUAUGCUUCAUCGUCCCUCAAUGAACAGGGACUACAUAGAGUGAUGGCUUGUCAUAGGUGAAGAACCUGUGAUGGCUCAAUGAACAGGGACUACACCGUCCUCUUUCCUUUGGUGUCUCAAGGAGUCUUGGUAUCUUCUCUCAGUUUCUGUUGCAGUGAAUUCAAGUCCCAUCUCAGAAUUAUAGUUGGAGCAAUCAAAUUUCUUUUCAAUUUCCUAGUUCACAGAAAUGCGAAAUGAUGGUUAUUAGAAGUAUCAGAGUCAAAAUUCCUCUGGAAAUCAGCACAGAAGAAAGUCGUAGAAUCAUUACAGAUUCUGUCAAGAGAUUGAAUUUAUAACUUAGCUCUUGAGGAGGUACGAGAGUGGAAUCAGUGAUAUGGUACUAUUGCCUUAGUAAGAACGUUUCCUGACCUUUGUGGCAAAUGCUUGCCACUGUUUCUUCUGGAGAAGCUCUUGCCGUACGAAGUUGGAAGACGUAGAGUGUCCCUGUUCAAGCUGCAUAUGGCUAGAGGUGGAGGUAUAGUAUGAAUCUUUUGAGACUGUUCUGUUUGAAAACUUCAAGUGGAAGACAGUCCGUAUGAUCCAGAGCAGAUGGUUUGCAUGAAUUACGGAGAGUAUGCGAACCAGAAAGUUAGGAGCUUAGAAGCUGAGUAUCAACGUUUCUGUACGCCAUGCCUAUGACAAAGACAAAAGUGUUAUUUGAGGAGACAUGUCUACCCUCAAAAGAUGUCAUCAUGCCCAUUGAUUUGCUAAAAACGAAGCUCAUGUUAAGAGUCGGUGGUUCCUUGCCAAAAGAAUCUCGCCUUUGGUGCUGCAGCUAGCAUGGUACAUCCAUCCCACAACAGGCUAUUCAGUUGUGAGAUCUUUGUCUAAAACUCCAUAAUACGCAUAUCAGUCAUCGCGGGUAUACU
Long non-coding RNA from Brassica napus (rape), 1141 nucleotides. RefSeq lists it as uncharacterized. The transcript is spliced from 9 exons. The record is from RefSeq and is a predicted model, not a curated record. Lineage: Eukaryota; Viridiplantae; Streptophyta; Magnoliopsida; Brassicales; Brassicaceae.